UGGGGUAUAGCUUAGUGGUAGAGCAUUUGACUGCAGAUCAAGCGGUCCCCGGUUCAAAUCAGGGUGCCCCCU
This is a non-coding RNA of Danio rerio (zebrafish), 72 nucleotides long. Lineage: Eukaryota; Metazoa; Chordata; Actinopteri; Cypriniformes; Danionidae. The record is from Rfam.